UAUUAUUGAUACAGUUUCUGUACUAUAUUG
This 30-nucleotide unclassified non-coding RNA is filed under the name Trypanosoma cruzi. RNAcentral describes it as "trans-spliced leader sequence SL-1". Lineage: Eukaryota; Euglenozoa; Kinetoplastea; Trypanosomatida; Trypanosomatidae. The record is from RNAcentral.